Long non-coding RNA from Arachis stenosperma, 756 nucleotides. RefSeq lists it as uncharacterized. NCBI's taxonomy places the organism in Eukaryota, Viridiplantae, Streptophyta, Magnoliopsida, Fabales, Fabaceae. The transcript has 3 exons. The record is from RefSeq and is a predicted model, not a curated record.
GUGUGAACAAGUUACACUUUCUGUCGGACCCAAUCUCCUCCUCCAAGGAGUCUUCAGAGCUGGUCAAAUUGCAGUUGCCGUUGACGCGAGGCGAAUCCAAAAUCCAUCUGCGUCGUCGAGCUGUGUCCACCCGUGAAGCAGCUGUGUCAUCGAGGUGCUCCUCUCUCUGUUCUAGGCACAUUCCUUGGUCUCUUGCCGUCAAUAGCCUUCCUCCCGCUGUCGCGUCAUCCGUGCAUCAAGUGGAUUGCCUAAUUCUCCCUUCGGUGGUGCUGGUUCUCCCGCAACCUCAUCUUUACACCCAUUUCGACCGUCCUGUACCGAAUCACUACCUGUUCCACAAACUUACACGAAUCGUGCUCAAAACUUGGAGGCUGCGAUGAAAACUUAGACCCAGAGGCAGAUAAGGUAGAUUAUUUUGAGCAACAUGUUGACAACCUGUUUGCUGCAUCAGAGGCUCCGAAGUACAAGGGACGCAUGACCACCGAAUUUUGGGAUGUUAAAACAAUUGAGUUUGAUGGGACAUUCAAGCAACUUCAUUUGAGUGUGAAGAAGGCUAUGAAGUCACCUAGCGGUAGAAAGAUUGUACUUAGGUUCAAUGAGAGACUGCAACCAGUUGGAAAUGAAGCUGGUAUACUGAGCGACGUUUUCGGAUUGCUAGGUUCUUACUACACCAAAUUCUCAAUAUGCAAGAAAGACUGGAGAAAGGUUCGUUCCAAGGAUAAGAUCUAUAACGAAUGUGUAAAGGUAAAACGUUAU